Molecule: ribosomal RNA, 452 nt
Filed under: uncultured bacterium
Lineage: Bacteria
Description: bacterial SSU rRNA
Rfam family: Bacterial small subunit ribosomal RNA
Source: RNAcentral
AGAGUUUGAUCCUGGCUCAGAACAACGCUGGCGGCAUGCCUAACACAUGCAAGUCGAACGAGACCUUCGGGUCUAGUGGCGCACGGGUGCGUAACGCGUGGGAAUCUACCCUUGGGUUCGGAAUAACUCAGAGAAAUUUGAGCUAAUACCGGAUGAUGUCGCAAGACCAAAGAUUUAUCGCCCAAGGAUGAGCCCGCGUAGGAUUAGCUUGUUGGUGAGGUAAAAGCUCACCAAGGCGACGAUCCUUAGCUGGUCUGAGAGGAUGAUCAGCCACACUGGGACUGAGACACGGCCCAGACUCCUACGGGAGGCAGCAGUGGGGAAUAUUGGACAAUGGGCGAAAGCCUGAUCCAGCAAUGCCGCGUGAGUGAUGAAGGCCUUAGGGUUGUAAAGCUCUUUUACCCGGGACGAUAAUGACAGUACCGGGAGAAUAAGCCCCGGCUAACUCCGUG